GACGAACGCUGGCGGCGUGCUUAACACAUGCAAGUCGAACGGAAAGGCCCCCUUGUGGGGUACUCGAGUGGCGAACGGGUGAGUAACACGUGAGUAACCCACCCUUGACUUUGGGAUAACUUCAGGAAACUGGGGCUAAUACCGGAUAGGAGCUCCUGCUGCAUGGUGGGGGUUGGAAAGUUUCGGCGGUUGGGGAUGGACUCGCGGCUUAUCAGCUUGUUGGUGGGGUAGUGGCUCACCAAGGCUUUGACGGGUAGCCGGCCUGAGAGGGUGACCGGCCACAUUGGGACUGAGAUACGGCCCAGACUCCUACGGGAGGCAGCAGUGGGGAAUAUUGCACAAUGGGCGGAAGCCUGAUGCAGCAACGCCGCGUGCGGGAUGACGGCCUUCGGGUUGUAAACCGCUUUCGCCUGUGACGAAGCGUGAGUGACGGUAAUGGGUAAAGAAGCACCGGCUAACUACGUG
This 465-nucleotide ribosomal RNA is filed under the name uncultured bacterium. Its description in RNAcentral is "partial 16S ribosomal RNA". It matches the Rfam family "Bacterial small subunit ribosomal RNA", at positions 28 to 507 of the family's 1533-position model. The record is from RNAcentral.